UACGGAGGGUGCAAGCGUUAUCCGGAUUCACUGGGUUUAAAGGGAGCGUAGGAGGGCAGGUAAGUCAGUGGUGAAAUCUUCGAGCUUAACUCGGAAACUGCCGUUGAUACUAUCUGUCUUGAAUACCGUGGAGAUGAGCGGAAUAUGUCAUGUAGCGGUGAAAUGCUUAGAUAUGACAUAGAACACCAAUUGCGAAGGCAGCUCGUUACACGAAAUAUUGACUCUGAGGCUCGAAAGCGUGGGGAGUCAAACAGGA
Molecule: ribosomal RNA, 256 nt
Filed under: uncultured bacterium
Lineage: Bacteria
Description: partial 16S ribosomal RNA
Rfam family: Bacterial small subunit ribosomal RNA
Source: RNAcentral